RNAcentral lists this long non-coding RNA (1370 nucleotides) under Betta splendens (Siamese fighting fish). Its description in RNAcentral is "lncRNA (ENSBSLG00000010808.1)". Lineage: Eukaryota; Metazoa; Chordata; Actinopteri; Anabantiformes; Osphronemidae. The record is from RNAcentral.
CGGCCCUCCCUGGAUUCACACACACACACACACACACACACACACACACACACACACACACACACACACACACACACACACACACAAUCCAACCUGGAGAUUCUCCAUCCUCCAACCUGUGGAUCCUCCUAACCUGCACUUUCGGUGUCCUCGUGGGGUCGAGCAUGACCCCGACCACAACCCCCCCACUGCACAUCCUCACCCACUUGUGGGGUCAGUCGAAAACCCUCCUCCGUUGCCCUCGUGGGGUCUAAAAAUGAGAGCUGCGUGAGGGUUAAGAUGAUCACAUUUUAACCCAAACUAUCGUAUGAAAUUUAACAACUUUAAAAGUCACGUGAAUUUUAAAACAAACUUAUUCUAUGGGCACAUAGCCUAUGGAAAUCAAGGAGGUUCAGUUAUUUCGACAAUUUUAUUGAUUUUCGGAACUAGAGACUUGAUGUCGUGUCCGUGUUUUCUUUUGCAUGUUUUUAACAUCGUAGUGUCCAACGCACCUUGAAUACCGCAGCGGCAGAAGGAUUCGGCCUCAUUGAACAGGUUGAAUCCGCUCCUGAACCGUAGCGUCCAACUCGCAGACAGGCCGGUGAAAAAGCUUGGUCUAUUGGCCAGUCUCUGCACCACCGGAGUCUUUUACUAGAUGGGUAACAUUUUGAACUCGCGUUUCUUAUUUUCGCUCUAAAAACGAUAAUUACUGUAUGUCUGGGCGACACUGAUACAUGCUGGCAAGCAGAGGCAAGAGAAGCAUCUCCUACAACUGCAGGGGUUUCCUUUGGUUAAACAAAUUCUGUCUCUGCUCUUUAAAUUUGUUUCGGUUUGUUCCGUGUAAUUCUAAUUUAACUAUUGGUUGAUUACUAUUUUUGUUUCAGGUGCCCCAACCAACCUUCUUAUCAAGCCUCUCUUCCACCGCUACCACCUCUUAGCAAGCCUCUGGUGGGACGGGUUCAUCCUCUGCGCUGAGACUUAAUUAUGAUAUGCCACAGCAACGUCAGCCCCAAGUAUUGGCUGAGGUGGAGUCAACUUUAGCAGCAGUGAUGCAGCAUCAUAAUGCACAUACCAAGAUCAUAAGGCGCAUAAACCAACCUCAUGUUAAGCCAACACCUCCGUCUCCUGCAGAGGAGCUCCGCAAUGGGGAAAUCUACAGAGACUGCGCCCUACAGAACCUCGCAGCGCAGAUGAAGGCACUCCCUAAAGUUGUGGGCUGUGAGCUGCCACCUACUCGGGAUUUGCUGGUUAUAGACGGACAUGGAUCUACUCUGCAGCUUGCAUUAUUACACGCCAAGUGUGUGUUUCACUGUUUGAUAAAGGGAAGGGAACAAACUCAAUACUUGGUGGAGGAAAAGGUUGUCUGCAAUACAUCUGAAUCUGAACUGUGA